CCUACGGGCGGCUGCAGUGGGGGAUAUUGCACAAUGGGGGGAACCCUGAUGCAGCGACGCCGCGUGGGUGAAGGAGCGUUUCGGCGCGUAAAGCCCUAUCGGCAGGGAAGAAAAUGACGGUACCUGACUAAGAAGCCCCGGCUAACUACGUGCCAGCAGCCGCGGUAAUACGUAGGGGGCAAGCGUUAUCCGGAUUUACUGGGUGUAAAGGGAGCGUAGACGGCUGUGCAAGUCUGGAGUGAAAGGCAUGGGCUCAACCUGUGGACUGCUUUGGAAACUGUGCGGCUUGAGUGUCGGAGAGGCAAGUGGAAUUCCUAGUGUAGCGGUGAAAUGCGUAGAUAUUAGGAGGAACACCAGUGGCGAAGGCGGCUUGCUGGACGAUGACUGACGUUGAGGCUCGAAAGCGUGGGGAGCAAACAGGAUUAGAUACCCGAGUAGUC
This 440-nucleotide ribosomal RNA is filed under the name uncultured bacterium. RNAcentral describes it as "partial 16S ribosomal RNA". It matches the Rfam family "Bacterial small subunit ribosomal RNA", at positions 338 to 795 of the family's 1533-position model. The record is from RNAcentral.